GGGUUUCGUAGGUGACCUGCGGAAGGAUCAUUACCGAGUUUUGGGGGGCUCUGCCCUCCUCUCUCACACCCUAUGUGUACCUACCUCUGUUGCUUUGGCGGGCCGCGGUCUCAUCCGCGGCCGGCCCCCUAACCGGGGCUGGCCAGCGCCCGCCAGAGGACCAUCAAACUCCAGUCAGUAAACGUAGCUGUCUGAUAAAUUUUUUAAUAAACUAAAACUUUCAACAACGGAUCUCUUGGUUCUGGCAUCGAUGAAGAACGCAGCGAAAUGCGAUAAGUAAUGUGAAUUGCAGAAUUCAGUGAAUCAUCGAAUCUUUGAACGCACAUUGCGCCCCUUGGUAUUCCGAGGGGCAUGCCUGUUCGAGCGUCAUUUCACCACUCAAGCUCUGCUUGGUAUUGGGCUCCGUCCUCUCCCGGACGCGCCUCAAAGACCUCGGCGGUGGCGUCUUGCCUCAAGCGUAGUAGAAAACACCUCGCUUUGGAGGACGGGACGUUCGCCCGCCGGACGAACCUUCUGAAUUUUUUCCUAAGGUUGACCUCGGAUCAGGUAGGGAUACCCGCUGAACUUAAGCAUAUCAAUAAGCGGAGGAAAAGAAACCAACUGGGAUUGCCUUAGUAACGGCGAGUGAAGCGGCAAUAGCUCAAAUUUGAAAGCUGGCUCCUUCGGAGUCCGCGUUGUAAUUUGUAGAGGAUGCUUCGGCGAGGGCUCCCGCCUAAGUCCCCUGGAACGGGGCGUCAUAGAGGGUGAGAAUCCCGUAUGCGGUGGGUUGCCUUAGCCAUGUGAAGCUCCUUCGACGAGUCGAGUUGUUUGGGAAUGCAGCUCUAAAUGGGAGGUAAAUUUCUUCUAAAGCUAAAUACCGGCCAGAGACCGAUAGCGCACAAGUAGAGUGAUCGAAAGAUGAAAAGCACUUUGGAAAGAGAGUUAAAAAGUACGUGAAAUUGUUGAAAGGGAAGCGCUUGCAGCCAGACUUGUCCGCAGUUGCUCAACCGGUCUCCUGACCGGUGUACUCUUCUGCGGCCAGGCCAGCAUCAGUUCGGGCGGUCGGAUAAAGGUUCUGGGAAUGUGGCUCCUCUCGGGGAGUGUUAUAGCCCAGUUCGCAAUGCGGCCAGCCUGGACUGAGGAUCUCGCUCGGCUAGGAUGC
RNAcentral lists this ribosomal RNA (1141 nucleotides) under fungal endophyte. RNAcentral describes it as "eukaryotic LSU rRNA". The stretch from base 533 to 1141 matches the Rfam family "Eukaryotic large subunit ribosomal RNA", at positions 1 to 626 of the family's 3401-position model. The record is from RNAcentral. Lineage: Eukaryota; Fungi.